GGGAAUCUACCUCUUGCUACGGGAUAGCUCCGGGAAACUGGAAUUAAUACCGUAUGUGCCCUUCGGGGGAAAGAUUUAUCGGCAAGGGAUGAGCCCGCGUUGGAUUAGCUAGUUGGUGGGGUAAAGGCCUACCAAGGCGACGAUCCAUAGUUGGUCUGAGAGGAUGAUCAGCCACAUUGGGACUGAGACACGGCCCAAACUCCUACGGGAGGCAGCAGUGGGGAAUAUUGGACAAUGGGCGCAAGCCUGAUCCAGCCAUGCCGCGUGAGUGAUGAAGGUCUUAGGAUUGUAAAGCUCUUUCACCGGGGACGAUAAUGACGGUACCCGGAGAAGAAGCCCCGGCUAACUUCGUGCCAGCAGCCGCGGUAAUACGAAGGGGGCUAGCGUUGUUCGGAAUUACUGGGCGUAAAGCGCACGUAGGCGGAUAUUUAAGUCAGGGGUGAAAUCCCGGGGCUCAACCCCGGAACUGCCUUUGAUACUGGGUAUCUUGAGUGUGGUAGAGGUGAGUGGAAUUGCGAGU
This 520-nucleotide ribosomal RNA is filed under the name uncultured bacterium. RNAcentral describes it as "bacterial SSU rRNA". It matches the Rfam family "Bacterial small subunit ribosomal RNA", at positions 120 to 674 of the family's 1533-position model. The record is from RNAcentral.